RNAcentral lists this ribosomal RNA (437 nucleotides) under uncultured Oscillospiraceae bacterium. RNAcentral's name for it is "bacterial SSU rRNA". It matches the Rfam family "Bacterial small subunit ribosomal RNA", at positions 341 to 792 of the family's 1533-position model. Lineage: Bacteria; Bacillati; Bacillota; Clostridia; Eubacteriales; Oscillospiraceae. The record is from RNAcentral.
ACGGGAGGCAGCAGUGGGGAAUAUUGGGCAAUGGGGGCAACCCUGACCCAGCAACGCCGCGUGAAGGGAGAAGGCUUUCGGGUUGUAAACUUCUUUUACCAGGGACGAAGGACGUGACGGUACCUGGAGAAAAAGCCACGGCUAACUACGUGCCAGCAGCCGCGGUAAUACGUAGGUGGCAAGCGUUGUCCGGAUUUACUGGGUGUAAAGGGAGCGCAGGCGGGACAGCAAGUUGGAUGUGAAAUACCGAGGCUUAACCACGGAGCUGCAUCCAAAACUGUUGUUCUUGAGUGAAGUAGAGGUAGGCGGAAUUCCGAGUGUAGCGGUGAAAUGCGUAGAUAUUCGGAGGAACACCAGUGGCGAAGGCGGCCUACUGGGCUUUAACUGACGCUGAGGCUCGAAAGUGUGGGGAGCAAACAGGAUUAGAUACCCUGGUA